UACGUAGGGCGCAAGCGUUGUCCGGAAUUACUGGGCGUAAAGAGCUCGUAGGUGGUUUGUCGCGUUGUUCGUGAAAACUCACAGCUCAACUGUGGGCGUGCGGGCGAUACGGGCAGACUAGAGUACUGCAGGGGAGACUGGAAUUCCUGGUGUAGCGGUGGAAUGCGCAGAUAUCAGGAGGAACACCGGUGGCGAAGGCGGGUCUCUGGGCAGUAACUGACGCUGGAGGAGCGAAAGCGUGGGGAGCGAACAGG
Molecule: ribosomal RNA, 254 nt
Filed under: uncultured bacterium
Lineage: Bacteria
Description: partial 16S ribosomal RNA
Rfam family: Bacterial small subunit ribosomal RNA
Source: RNAcentral